RNAcentral lists this long non-coding RNA (514 nucleotides) under Olea europaea subsp. europaea. The record is from RNAcentral. Lineage: Eukaryota; Viridiplantae; Streptophyta; Magnoliopsida; Lamiales; Oleaceae.
AGAGUCGACACAUAGCAACACACAACGCUGUGAGAUGCGGUGCUGUCGUUCAUAGAUCUGCUUCAAUUUUCUACCAUUGAGCAUUGAAUCGUGGCGCCACCAUCAGAGUUGAAGGAAGGCAAGGACUAGUAGAAACAGUCGAUGAGAAGAAAAAGAUAAAGAAGUCGGCUUGAGAAUCAGCUAGAGCUAGCUGGAGUAGAGCCCCCGGAAGCCGCCAAGCUUUUUGGUCUUUGGAUUUAAUCUGAGUGCAAUCGUACACAAUAGCGACAUUUUGAUUGUAAUAAUGGCGAUGUGAUAGCAUUUUUCAAUCUGAUUUGUUAGUAUUUUUGGGCAAUGGUUUUGUUGAAUCUUGUUGGUUGCAAUGGUAGUGAUGGUUUGUUGGUGGUUGUGUUGGUAAGCUGGUAGUAACAGCGAUGUUUUUAUUGGUGCGGGCGACGAUUUUGUUGAUUUCGAUUUUGUUGGAUCUCUUGUUAGUGGCAUUGGUGAUAGUGGGUUGUGUAAUGGUUGGAGCUCA